AUGGCAGAAGUAUAAACAGGAAAUGAUGUAUAUAAGAUUUGAAACUCAAACAUAUUGAAUAGGUUUAUUGGCCUGAUAAGUAUAUAGAGUGAAAUAAACAAUGUAUCAGAGUGGAUUUAAAAAAUGAUAGUAAUCCCUUGUCACACCACAGGGCGGCAGUCUAGGAUGAAAACAGAUACAGUCAAUCCACGCUGGAGAUGAUGAAACUAAAAUGAUCAAGGACUCACACACAGUGUGGUGGAUAUUUGAGGUGUGGGAUGUGCGGUGGAUUUGAUGGAGCCAUGACUCACCCAUGGCAGGUGUGGCCAGUGUUUGCCGGCCAACCAGCUGACCGGGGCCUAAACCAUCCAGGAAGUCACUGAAUUGACUGUCGGCACCCAACCGCAUACCUGAGAAGAUCAGACUGACACACACACACACACACACACACAGAAAUUAUUGAACAAUUCCUACAUCACCACUCAAAACAAAUACCAUAAAAUGCAAUUAAAGAUACAAUUAUACAUUUGGGAAAGCAAACAGUACUGUCACCCUACACUAUACUGCUUUAUGUUAUACAAUAGCACAGAGCAUGGUCACCUGCAUGGGUCUCUAGACACUUUUUAAUACUUAUUACAUGCUAAACUUUUACCUGUGCAGAGCUAAUCUGUCUGCUCUCACUCUUUUUUGUAUAUCAUUGGUUACUACCCUUGUCUGCCACAACCUGGAUGCUAUUGUCCCAUGUUUUUGUGUCUAACUGACUAAUGGGGA
This is a long non-coding RNA of Sebastes umbrosus (honeycomb rockfish), 750 nucleotides long. RefSeq lists it as uncharacterized. The transcript is spliced from 2 exons. Lineage: Eukaryota; Metazoa; Chordata; Actinopteri; Perciformes; Sebastidae. The record is from RefSeq and is a predicted model, not a curated record.